GCAUACUGCCGUGAAUACGUUCCCGGGCCUUGUACACACCGCCCGUCACACCAUGAGAGUUGGGAAUACCCGAAGCCUGUGAGCUAACAUUUAUGAGGCAGCAGUCGAAGGUAGAAUCAAUGAUUGGGGUGAAGUCGUAACAAGGUAAC
RNAcentral lists this ribosomal RNA (149 nucleotides) under uncultured bacterium. RNAcentral describes it as "partial 16S ribosomal RNA". It matches the Rfam family "Bacterial small subunit ribosomal RNA", at positions 1352 to 1500 of the family's 1533-position model. The record is from RNAcentral.